This is a long non-coding RNA of Geospiza fortis (medium ground-finch), 1639 nucleotides long. Lineage: Eukaryota; Metazoa; Chordata; Aves; Passeriformes; Thraupidae. The record is from Ensembl.
AAGAUGCAGGAGAAAUCUACUAAUUUAGUUGUAGUCAUUGAACUGGACUCUUCUAUAAGAUGGCAAAUUAUAUUAUCUUCUUUUUCUUUAAUGUAAAGGUUAACAACAGAAUAUCCAGGACACUAUGGAGAAGAUAUGGACAUGAUGAUGUACACUUACGACUAUUACAUCCGUGGGGCAACCACAACUUUCUCUGCUGUGCACAGGGAUCGUCAGUGGAAAUUUAUUGUCUGCAGGAUGACAGACUAUGACUGCCCAUUUCAGAAUGUUUAAAAGAUUGAGUGCACUCCAUUUGGAAAUCUUGGGGACAGGCAGGGUGGGAUAAAAUUAGUGAUUACAGGAGACGAUCAGUUAGGUUCACAAAAAUAUACCAAGACUCAUCACCUGUCUGCUGAAGACAUAAUUCUUUCCCUCUGGAGCUAAUACGUAAAUUGCCAACCUACAUGCUUGCAACAGUGAAUUCAGAGGAUUCUUUCAAGCUGCACUGACAGUUGUAUCCUGCAAUUAAAUUUGCUUAUGACAUACAUGUUUAUGAUACACAAAUCUAUGGCAUAUGCAGUUACCUUUCUUAUAUAUACAUGUAGCCAUUCUAAACACAUACAACUUCCUUUCACAUAGCAGCUCUAUAGAAAUGGCUUCCCAGCUCCUCUGAAUGAGGUGGAAACAUACUAUAUGCUUCCCAACAUGCACUAGACUUUCCUGUCUUCUACUUUGUACUUGGAACAAAUCCAGUGACCCCAACCAACUUCUCAGACCUGGAAGUGUGCAGAAAAUGUAAUUGGGAGGUGUCUGAUGGGCUGCACCUGGCAUUACCUGUUACAGCCCUCAGCAUAACUCCACUGCAACAAAGGUCUGCCCACACAGGAGAAUUCCAGGCAUUUACAACAGGAAGACAUCAGUAUCGGAUAAAAAUGAGAGUAGAUCCAUCAAUAAAAACAGAAGACUAGCCCAGCUUUACUAAGAGUCUCUUUUAUAUUGUCUUUAAAAUCUCUGAUGAUAAAACUAACCAAGAACUCUGGUCUGGGCAAACCCAGGAGAAAGUCAGCCCAUUCAUGCUCAGUAAAUAUGGAUAUGACAUUCUUCAGGAGUCUGAAUUUCAGGUGGAUUUGGUUUCCACUGUGGGUGCCUGUACGACAUCCAUCUUCCCUUGGUAAUACAAUCUUGGUUUAGAAGAGACAAAGUUAGUGACUUAGGUGACCUUAGUUCCUCCAGUUUGCAGAUCUUAUUGCCUAUAAAGUAUAAACUGACCAUGUUUCAACACUGCACAACACUUGUGCAGCUGCAGUCCAACAAGAAAGAAUAUUGAUCUGUUUCAGAAAGAUCAGAGGUAGUAUUUUCACUCUUGAACAAGUCAGAAUUUAGGGCUCAGUUUCUUAGUUGAUGAAUUCAAUGGUGAACUUAGCAAUGGCUUUGGUGCUGCUGGCUCAAGGGCUGUGAUGACUCCAUGUGCCAAUUUAAGGCUGCAAAGCUUCAUAAGAAACAGUGGUGUCUGCCAAUGAGUUUCCAUAUUCCAAGCAUUUUUAGCAUGUUUAGAAGCAUACCCUCUUGUUCAAUAAAGGAAUGUUAGGAUUUGCUUUGCUGUAGCCUUGUUCUUUAUUGAUUUUCCUUUCACCAGCAUAUUAAUUCACACACAAACAAA